Molecule: non-coding RNA, 124 nt
Organism: Parcubacteria group bacterium CG2_30_36_38
Lineage: Bacteria
Source: Rfam
AAUCCUUGUAGUUAUUCACCGCAGACAGCAGGUAUGCGCGAGCAAUAAAUCCUGCCGAGGUAGAAAUCUAAUUCUAGUUUUUAGAUUUUGAAGCCUGCGGCGAACAGACUUAUUUUUUUAAACA